RNAcentral lists this unclassified non-coding RNA (330 nucleotides) under soil metagenome. RNAcentral describes it as "partial contains 5.8S ribosomal RNA, internal transcribed spacer 2, and large subunit ribosomal RNA". The stretch from base 1 to 120 matches the Rfam family "5.8S ribosomal RNA", at positions 35 to 154 of the family's 154-position model. The record is from RNAcentral.
GAUGAAGAAGGCAGCGAAAUGCGAUAAGUAAUGUGAAUUGCAGAAUUCAGUGAAUCAUCGAAUCUUUGAACGCACAUUGCGCCCUCUGGUAUUCCGGGGGGCAUGCCUGUUCGAGCGUCAUUAUAACCACUCAAGCUCUCGCUUGGUAUUGGGGUUCGCGGUUUCGCGGCCCCUAAAAUCAGUGGCGGUGCCUGUCGGCUCUACGCGUAGUAAUACUCCUCGCGAUUGAGUCCGGUAGGUCUACUUGCCAGCAACCCCUAAUUUUUUUAAGGUUGACCUCGGAUCAGGUAGGGAUACCCGCUGAACUUAAGCAUAUCAAUAAGCGGAGGA